UAGGGAAUAUUGGUAAUGUGCGAAAGCGCGAACCAGCAACGCCGCGUGCACGAUGAAGGCCUUCGGGUCGUAAAGUGCUUUUAGAGAGGAUGAGGAAGGACAGUACUCUUAGAAUAAGCCUCUGCUAACUACGUGCCAGAAGCCGCGGUAAAACGUAGGAGGCGAGCGUUAUCCGGAUUUACUGGGCGUAAAGCGUGUGUAGGCGGUUUGAUAAGUUGGAUGUGAAAGCUCCUGGCUUAACUGGGAGAGGUCGUUCAAAACUAUCAGACUUGAGAGUGGUAGAGGGAGGUGGAAUUCCGCAUGUAGUGGUGAAAUGCGUAGAUAUGCGGAGGAACACCAGUGGCGAAAGCGGCCUCCUGGCCCAUUUCUGACGCUCAGACACGAAAGCUAAGGUAGCAAACG
This 402-nucleotide ribosomal RNA is filed under the name uncultured prokaryote. Its description in RNAcentral is "bacterial SSU rRNA". It matches the Rfam family "Bacterial small subunit ribosomal RNA", at positions 355 to 774 of the family's 1533-position model. The record is from RNAcentral.